AGAUAGACGCGCAUCUGUGAGCAGCAGAGGGGCUCAUAUUCAGGGGCUAACUCUGCCAGCUGUGUGGUGAGAGGGAGCUGCCACCGCUUGAUCUGUUCAUCUGUAAUGAGGGAGUCUUAGAAGCUUCACUCACCACAGUGAACUGUUGUAGGAGUUAAAGGGAGGCGUCUACAAAGCAUGCUGGGAACUGAAAAGGCCUUUCUGUAGAAUGAAGCAACAUUUUCAAAACUUACGAUUUAAGCCACAUUUCACUCUUGGGCAGAUGAAAUAAAUGACUGGCUGACGGGAGCAUGAAGGAGGAGGAGGAGGAGGCACACAUAGAAAUAAAUGACUGGCUGACGGGAGCAUGAAGGAGGAGGAGGAGGNNNNNNNNNNCAACCAGAAGAGGGAGCAGUUACAUCAACUCAUACUCCUGCUCCUGAGAAAGCCCUCGGGCUCAUAGAAGCGUUACCACUCCAACCUGAGGAGAGGAAAGAAAAUAAAGAAAACUAUCUAAGUGACUAUCAGCAACCUAUCUGCUCACAACUAUCAAGAUCACACUUGGACAGUCUCCCUCAGGACACUACAUUGUCACCUCCAGACAAGCCCUCCAUACAAGCUCAGGAUGUUCAGUGCCUCUUGCUGGCUACAAGGAGAGCAAGGCAGGUCCAGGUUUGCUUCAGUCUCUGUGGUAGUUUAAAUAUGCUUGGAGCAUGGGUAGUGGCACUAUUAGGAGGUGUGGCCUUGUUGGAGGAAGUGUGUCGCCGUGGAGGUGGGCUUAAUCAGGUUCUGCCCAAUGUGGAAAAGAGUCUCCUUCUGGCUGCCUGCAGGAGACAAUCUGAUCUUAGCAGCCUUCAGACCAAGAUGUAG
Molecule: long non-coding RNA, 849 nt
Filed under: Mus spicilegus (steppe mouse)
Lineage: Eukaryota; Metazoa; Chordata; Mammalia; Rodentia; Muridae
Description: lncRNA (ENSMSIG00000028094.1)
Source: RNAcentral